CUGCGCUGAGCAGGCCUAACACAUGCAAGUCGAACGGUAGCACAGAGAGCUUGCUCUCGGGUGACGAGUGGCGGACGGGUGAGUAAUGUCUGGGAAACUGCCUGAUGGAGGGGGAUAACUACUGGAAACGGUAGCUAAUACCGCAUAACGUCGCAAGACCAAAGAGGGGGACCUUCGGGCCUCUUGCCAUCAGAUGUGCCCAGAUGGGAUUAGCUAGUAGGUGGGGUAACGGCUCACCUAGGCGACGAUCCCUAGCUGGUCUGAGAGGAUGACCAGCCACACUGGAACUGAGACACGGUCCAGACUCCUACGGGAGGCAGCAGUGGGGAAUAUUGCACAC
RNAcentral lists this ribosomal RNA (340 nucleotides) under gamma proteobacterium FA4. RNAcentral describes it as "bacterial SSU rRNA". It matches the Rfam family "Bacterial small subunit ribosomal RNA", at positions 42 to 371 of the family's 1533-position model. The record is from RNAcentral. Lineage: Bacteria; Pseudomonadati; Pseudomonadota; Gammaproteobacteria.